GAUGAACGCUGGCGGCGUGCCUAAUACAUGCAAGUCGAACGCUUCACUUCGGUGAAGAGUGGCGAACGGGUGAGUAAUACAUAAGUAACCUGGCAUCUACAGGGGGAUAACUGAUGGAAACGUCAGCUAAGACCGCAUAGGUGUAGAGAUAGCAUGAACUCUAUAUGAAAAGUGCUACGGGACUGGUAGAUGAUGGACUUAUGGCGCAUUAGCUGGUUGGUAGGGUAACGGCCUACCAAGGCGACGAUGCGUAGCCGAACUGAGAGGGUGACCGGCCACACUUGGACUGCGACACGGCACGGGCUCCAGCGGGAGGCAGCAGUAGGGAAUUUUCGGCAAUGGGGGAAACCCUGACCGAGCAACGCUGCGUGAAGGAAGAAGUAAUUCGUUAUGUAAACUUCUGUCAUAGAGGAAGAACGGUGGAUAUAGGGAAUGAUAUCCAAGUGACGGUACUCUAUAAGAAAGCCACGGCUAACUACGUGCCAGCCGCCGCGGUAA
This 498-nucleotide ribosomal RNA is filed under the name uncultured bacterium. Its description in RNAcentral is "partial 16S ribosomal RNA". It matches the Rfam family "Bacterial small subunit ribosomal RNA", at positions 28 to 523 of the family's 1533-position model. The record is from RNAcentral.